Molecule: ribosomal RNA, 253 nt
Filed under: uncultured prokaryote
Description: partial 16S ribosomal RNA
Rfam family: Bacterial small subunit ribosomal RNA
Source: RNAcentral
UACGGAGGAUCCAAGCGUUAUCCGGAUUUACUGGGUUUAAAGGGUGCGUAGGCGGAUUGAUAAGUCAGUGGUGAAAUCCUGCAGCUUAACUGCAGAACUGCCAUUGAUACUGUUAGUCUGGAGUAUGGUUGAGGUAGCUGGAAUGUGUCAUGUAGCGGUGAAAUGCUUAGAGAUGACACAGAACACCGACGGCGAAGGCAGGUUACCAACCCAUUACUGACGCUGAGGCACGAAAGCGUGGGGAUCAAACAGG